AGCAAGAUGCUUCAGCAUUGUCCAAGCCAUUGGCAUUGUAGGCGGCGGGGCGGUUUUUGGAAAACAUUUGUGUGGAACUGGAACAAGUGUGGAAGACAUUUUUUUUAGAGGUAGAGAGGGCAAAACGAAGUUGAAGAUUUAUAACAUUACUGUUGUGAAUAUGAUGCGUUGCAUUUCCAAGAGUGUAAGAUGUCUUUGGGACAAGCCAGCAAGUCAUUUGUUUCAGCGACAUUUCAUUUCAACUUCAACUUCGUUGCAAGAUCAACUGAAGCCGUACACCCCGCGGCGGGCGGUGCUGUACGUGCCUGGCAGCGACCGCAGGAAGAUCGACAAGACUGCCUCGCUGGACGCCGACUGCAUCGUGCUCGACUGCGAGGAUGGAGUGGCGCUCAACCGGAAGGAGGAGGCGCGACGCACCAUUCGCGAGGUGCUGCACACGGGCAGCGUCAGCUUCUCCGGGAAGGACUGCUCGGUGCGUGUCAACUGCGUGGAGAGUGGCCACUGCGAGACGGACCUGGAGCACGUGCUGUCGGCGCGCCGCCUGCCCGACACGCUCCACCUGCCCAAGGUGGACACCGUGGAGCACGUGACCUGGUUUGUCGACCGGCUUCGAAAGCACAUGCCAGCAGACAUGAAAACUCCGAUGAAUCUCAUUUUGUUCACUGAGUCGGCUCUGGGAAUGCUGAACCUCAGAGCCAUCUGUGAGCGGACGCUGGAACUAACGUCUGACCUGCCACUCUCGCUAGAUGGCCUCGUAUUCGGCUCCGACGACUUCUGUGCUGACAUCGGCGCCACGCGCACUUCGGAGGCGCGGGAACUACUGUUCGCGCGACAAAACUUCGUCAUGAUCGCCAAGGCGUUCAAACUGCAAGCCAUAGACGUCGUGUACAUCGAUUAUAAAGACCUCGAGGGACUACGGUGCCAGUCGGAGGAGGGCGCCCAGUUCGGCUUCACGGGGAAGCAGGUGAUCCACCCGGGCCAGGUACCGGUGGUGCAGAGUGCCUUCUCACCCUCCCCCGAGCGGGCAGAGUGGGCCGCCCGCCUGGUGGAGGCGUUCGAGAAACACCAGACCUCCGGAAAGGGCGCCUUCACGUUCGGCGGCCACAUGAUCGACCGACCGCUGCUGCUGCAGGCGCACAACGUGCUGCGAAUGCAGACUCGCUCAGAGGCCAGCUGAGCCGACCUCGGGCCAGUGACGUCACUCGCUCACUGACCAAUGACAUCGCUCAGCUGUCCACCCCAGGUCUGCAGGCGCUCUCGCCUCUCGCAAGCCAGGCGGCCGAGGACAGCGCGCCGCUCCGCGUGGGGUACCGGUGACGACUGACACCGGUAUGCGCGACCAAUGACUACGUACGAGGGCUAUAAAUCGUGACGAGGUGGUAUGCCUUGAAUGGGUUUUGUUUCCAUCCCUAGCUAUAACUCAAGGCUUAGACCUGUGUGCGAGAGAUAGCAGACAUCGACUUCGCUGUGUUAAGUUUGAAGGCAGAGAGGAACCGACUGGCUGACUUUUUCCUGUAUGGGUUGCGUCAGUGAUAUUUGUGCGUUUUAUAGUUGUCCGUGCAGUGUGCAUUGUGCCUUUCGCCCGGGACAAAAGUAAUUUUUUACCUGCCUGCGGUGUAGUGCACUGUGUGUAUGCAGCCAAGGAUGUGAUGCCCGUGAUGGUCAGUUAAAGUAAUUCAGUCAACGAAGCACGGUUUGACGAUUGUCGAGCCCGUUGUGCACUUGAUUUUGUCGCCGAAAGCACCUGUACCUUAUUAUAUCGCCUUACCUGUGCAAACUGUGCAUGGAAAUUAUAUGCACAUCUUUCUUCUACAGACGGACACGCCAGAACUCAUGUUACUUGGUAGCUAUGAUCCCAAUUCCCAACCCUAAACGCGAUUUAUUUUCCACUCACCCCGGCACGGCCUUCGUUACUGGCUCAACAAGGGCCCCUCAGAAAUUAAUCCGUCAUGCUCUUCUGCGGCGCUGGUCCGUCGCCAUCUUCUGCGGCGCUGAUAGGUCGUGUCUUCGGAGGGCGAAGGCCUCGGACGCCAGCAAGGAUUUUGGCGCUCCAUAAGGUUCAUUAUUGUAUGCCUUAUGAUGGGCGCCAAAAGCCUUUCUGGCGCCCAAUCGUGCCCCAUACAGAUGCUCGCUGACUGCUUGAAUGUCGUACACCGCUUGGAUGUCUUGCAAGAUUACAUACCAUUCGUUCUGGAAGGUGUUACCUAAGAAUCAUUUUGAUAUUUAAUCCUACAGCUUGUGAUUGCGCGGACCGCGGUGACGUAACAUUCGCUGCUGCCGGCUUUGUCACAAUGCAUUUAUGUAUUUCAAGUGAUUGACCAAAUAUUUACCUACUUACGUACUGUCCUGCGUCACAGAUGAUGCUCAUAAAGUGACAGUUCCUAGGUCUGAUGAAUGAAAUGUCAUGCGACGCAAUUGGAGUCUUCCUGAAUAAAAGAGCAUGGUAACAUAGCAAAAAUUG
Amphibalanus amphitrite is the source of this 2461-nucleotide RNA transcript. It is a transcript of the gene named citramalyl-CoA lyase, mitochondrial-like, with no coding region annotated. The transcript is spliced from 8 exons. NCBI's taxonomy places the organism in Eukaryota, Metazoa, Arthropoda, Thecostraca, Balanomorpha, Balanidae. The record is from RefSeq and is a predicted model, not a curated record.